This 229-nucleotide ribosomal RNA is filed under the name uncultured bacterium. RNAcentral's name for it is "partial 16S ribosomal RNA". It matches the Rfam family "Bacterial small subunit ribosomal RNA", at positions 15 to 231 of the family's 1533-position model. The record is from RNAcentral.
GAUCAUGGCUCAGGAUGAACGCUAGCUACAGGCUUAACACAUGCAAGUCGAGGGGGCAGCAUGGUCUUAGCUUGCUAAGGCCGAUGGCGACCGGCGCACGGGUGAGUAACACGUAUCCAACCUGCCGUCUACUCGUUGGACAGCCUUCUGAAAGGAAGAUUAACUACAAGAUGGCAUCAUGAGUUCCGCAUGUUCACAUGAUUAAAGGUAUUCCGGUAGACGAUGGGGA